AUUGAACGCUGGCGGCAGGCCUAACACAUGCAAGUCGAACGAGUAGCGGACGGGUGAGUAAUGUAUGGGAAACUGCCCGAUGGAGGGGGCUAACUACUGGAAACGGUAGCUAAUACCGCAUACCAUCGGAUCUGCCCAGAUGGGAUUAGCUAGUAGGUGGGGUAAGGGCUCACCUAGGCGACGAUCCCUAGCUGGUCUGAGAGGAUGACCAGCAACACUGGAACGGAGACAGGGGCCAGACUCCAACGGGAGGCAGCAGUGGGGAAUAUUGCACAAUGGGCGCAAGCCUGAUGCAGCCAUGCCGCGUGUAUGAAGAAGGCCUUCGGGUUGUAAAGUACUUUCAGCGGGGAGGCGUUACCCGCAGAAGAAGCACCGGCUAACUCCGUGCCAGCCGCCGCGGUAAUUC
Molecule: ribosomal RNA, 406 nt
Filed under: uncultured bacterium
Lineage: Bacteria
Description: partial 16S ribosomal RNA
Rfam family: Bacterial small subunit ribosomal RNA
Source: RNAcentral